AUGUUCGUUACUGAGUUUCGUGUUUCCCCGUAACUCCUAGGAACGCGGUCUCAAAUUACCCGCUUCAAAUUCAAGCCUGACACCCGUCAGCUGAUUCAAACCUUGGUGAAACGUGGAGCCACGUGAGAGAUGCAAAUUGCAAUCCAAAAUUAAAUAUUAUGAGACUGCCAGGAUGUGUCGACAAAAUAUUCUAGAUCAGCACUCUUAAUCUCAUUCUAACGCAAUGUUAUGCGGGACAAAAAUACCGAGCACACAAUGAAAGACCUUGCCUUUGUUGAAGCUUCCUUUUUUAAAGGGAGACCAGAAAGGAUAGAGAAACCCUGAGCACUCAAAAUACAACAAAAAAGAGGGAUGCCUGGUACAAUGUGCCUACUGUACUGAGUAGAGCAUGCAACUCCUGAUUUCAGGGUCAUGAGUUGAAGCCCCAUGUAGGGCAUGGAACCUCUUAAAAAGAGAGAGACAAAAGUACAACAAAAACAAUAAUAACAACAUUUAUUGAACACUCCCUGCACGUCAAGCACUGUGGUCCUCCUCCAUCAAGAUUUCAUCACUUUCAAGAAGCAGUAAAGCAUCUAGAAAAUCUCAGUACUGAGAAAGAAGUAAGUAUUUACGAAAGUUUUCCUCUCACUAACAAGAGACUGUACGUGCACCGGGGGAGACUGGCCCAGGGGUGAUGGUAACAGAAGUGAUAGAAACUAAGCAGAAUGAGAAAAAUCCAAAUGGACCCAGGGAACAGUAUCAAGACUGAUCCUCACCAGAUGAUUCAAAUUCCUAAAAUCUGGGAUGUACUGAGUUUUUGUUUCACUGUGGAGGUUGCUUUCCUUACACAUGCCUUCUGAGCAGAAGUAGAUUUUAACAAGAUUAAGCCUUCUGUUGCCUGGAAAAAAGAAUACAUUAAUUGGUAAAUAAAUCAUCAAAAUUUGUUUAAUUAAGUACGUAAGCUACUUACAGAAGCACAGCACUUUCUGGAAUAAAGGGAGUCCUAGCCAUGUUGAUUUGGGGUCAGCAGGGAUGAGGUGCAUCGAAGGAGAGGAUCCGGUCCAGGUGAGGUAGCCCAUGGCUGCAGGAGGACUAAGAAUGGCCUGUAACAAACAUGGGGAUAUACUGGGAAGAAAUCACCAAUAUUAAGAGAUGAAUAAAGGAGAGGUUAAGGGGAGAUCUUAAUCAACUUUACCAUUUUGGCAAGGUUUACAGUUAAUUUGUUCUAAAGAUGUGUGUUCCUUGCAGAACACAGGAAGAAACCAUAUACACAUAGGAGGAUGUCUUAUAAAGAAUAGUUUAUAUGUACUCCCAGUCCCAGCCUCAAAAUUCGGAUGGCCUGGAGUCCACUCUCCCUUCUCCUCAUAUUCCUGAUGCACACACAUGAGGACACACCAACCUGAAGGUUUCAUCUGGUUCCAAGACCAGCCUGACCACCCCAUACACCUGCAGUGUGGGGGCCCUGUUAACAGGAAAUUCUGGAAUCCUAGGUAGCUAAAAGGAAGGGAUCCAGGUCUGGAUGAACAUGUUCUUUUGGCCACUUAACUCCUCAAAUUGGGAGGGGCAGGGCAAGAAAAGGCAGGUACCCUUAAAAAUAUGGAAAUAUAGCCUCUUCUUCCCAUCCCCCCACCAGUGACAUUACCCUAGUGUUAUAAAUACAUGUGCACAAUGUUCAUUUAGAGUGACUUUCAGUUUAGUUCAAGACAUGUACAAGACUUUAUUAACACCACCUAGAAAAAUAGGGAACGUCUCAGUGAAUGAGAAAGCACUGUAUUAAGUGUGUAAGUAUGGGUAAAAAUUGUGAUUUCUUUGGAAGAAAGGUCAAAUGUGUUCACCUCUGCUCUUUGGAUCAUAGAAUAAUCAAGUUUACAGCUUAA
Molecule: long non-coding RNA, 1856 nt
Organism: Neofelis nebulosa (Clouded leopard)
Lineage: Eukaryota; Metazoa; Chordata; Mammalia; Carnivora; Felidae
Exons: 5
Source: RefSeq, a predicted model, not a curated record